ACGAACGCUGGCGGCGUGCUUCACCCCUGCAAGUUGAACGGAAAGGCCCAGCUUGCUGGGUACUCGAGUGGCGAACGGGUGAGUAACACGUGGGUGAUCUGCCCUGCACUCUGGGAUAAGCCUGGGAAACUGGGUCUAAUACCGGAUAUGACCGACUGUCGCAUGGUGGUUGGUGGAAAGCUUUUGCGGUGUGGGAUGGGCCCGCGGCCUAUCAGCUUGUUGGUGGGGUAAUGGCCUACCAAGGCGACGACGGGUAGCCGACCUGAGAGGGUGAUCGGCCACACUGGGACUGAGACACGGCCCAGACUCCUACGGGAGGCAGCAGUGGGGAAUAUUGCACAAUGGGCGCAAGCCUGAUGCAGCGACGCCGCGUGAGGGAUGACGGCCUUCGGGUUGUAAACCUCUUUCACCAGGGACGAAGCGUGAGUGACGGUACCUGGAGAAGAAGCACCGGCCAACUACGUG
RNAcentral lists this ribosomal RNA (465 nucleotides) under uncultured bacterium. RNAcentral describes it as "partial 16S ribosomal RNA". It matches the Rfam family "Bacterial small subunit ribosomal RNA", at positions 29 to 507 of the family's 1533-position model. The record is from RNAcentral.